This 421-nucleotide ribosomal RNA is filed under the name uncultured archaeon. Its description in RNAcentral is "partial 16S ribosomal RNA". It matches the Rfam family "Archaeal small subunit ribosomal RNA", at positions 323 to 746 of the family's 1478-position model. The record is from RNAcentral.
CUACGGGUCGCACCAGGCGCGAAACCUUUACAAUGCGGGAAACCGUGAUAAGGGAACCCUGAGUGCUCAUCUUACGAUGGGCUUUUGCCAAGAGUAAAAAUCUUGGCGAAUAAGUGGUGGGUAAGACUGGUGCCAGCCGCCGCGGUAACACCAGCGCCACGAGUGGGAAUCGUGUUUAUUUGGCCUAAAGCGUCCGUAGCCGGCAAAGUAAAUCUUUUGUGAAAUCAUCGGGCCUAACCUGAUGGCGUGCAGAAGAGACUGCUAUGCUUGGAACCGGGAGGAGUCAGAAGUAUGGGAUGGGGAGCGGUAAAAUGCGAUAAUCCAUCUUAGACUACCUGUGGCGAAGGCGUCUGACUAGAACGGAUUCGACGGUGAGGGACGAAAGCCAGGGGAGCGAUCCGGAUUAGAUACCCGGGUAGUC